This 2181-nucleotide unclassified non-coding RNA is filed under the name Hevea brasiliensis (rubber tree). Lineage: Eukaryota; Viridiplantae; Streptophyta; Magnoliopsida; Malpighiales; Euphorbiaceae. The record is from RNAcentral.
ACCAGUAACUGUGUCUCUACUCCUGUUUCAAGAUUCAGCCACAUAAAUCCACGUUUGCGAUUCCAAUUGAAGAACGGGUAGUCUAGUUAAACACAAUCUAAUAGUAUUGAAGAACUACUUGGUAACCAUUUUCCUGAAAAGGAAAACUCCACAGCCCUAAUUCACCUAGCUUCCCUACUUGUACAGGUAACAUAAAUAUAACUACAGUCGAAAAAGAGAGGCGAAAACCAAAUGCAAAACCUUACUCUUAAUAAGGUUAUGUUGUUGGCUGGUUUUUGGGGUGGUGGAAGCGGGGCAAGAAACAAGAAUCCAGCUAGAGAAAAUGAUAAAUAAUGAUAGAGAUGAUCUAUGCAUUCAAAGAACAAUAUGGAUUUAAGUUGCAAGCUACAUGAAAUUCAAGAAAUGAAGGCCCAAAUAUCUGACAUGUUUAAAACACUCCAACUAUGGAAGAACACAAGGGAAAAACAAGUUCUUAAAAUAUGGGAAUUGGGAAAGGACAGAAGAUCUAGGAAUCAACUGUAGUCACCUGUUGCCACUCCCCAUCAACAGCUUCUUUCCACAGAGUCACAUUGUUGUUCCCAUCAGCAACAGCCAAUAUGUUUCCAGUGAGUGACCAUGAGACUCUCCAAACAGGAGUCUUGAAAUCAUGCAAGACCUUACCCUCCCAUUGAUCCCCUUCCUUUCCCACAGUCCAUAUAAUAACCUUCCCAUCCUGAGAAGCACUAGCAAUAGUGGACUUUGGAAGGCCCAAGUUAGGUGCCCAUGCGACAUCUCUUACCCAAUCAGUGUGCAUUUGAAGAGCUGGAAAGCAGUCCAUCUUCCAAGUUCCAUUGUAGAGCUUCCAAACUUUGACAGUAUUGUCACAACCACCAGAGCAAAGCUUCUGAACAGGGUCAAGCAAACCAGAACCAACAAGAGCACCAGGCGCUGUCGAUGGUGCCCAAGAAACAGAAGUUACACCAACUGGGUGAGCUUGAUCAAUUUUGGAUGUGUCCCAACCACCAUCUGCUCGUGCAGUAAAAACUGAUAUAUUUCCAUCUGAGGAGCCACACGCCAAACAAAGACCAACCUCAUGAGGUGCCCAAGCAAUAGAGUUAACAGAUGACUUGUGGUCAUCAAAUACAUGAGCUUGAGUCCACUCAUUUUGAUUGCCCUCCUUCCAUAUUAUGACACGCCCAUCAUAAGAACAUGAAGCAAGCAAAGAUCCAAACUUUGGGUGAGCCCAGGAUACUUGCCAAACAGGUCCUUGAUGGGCAGUGAGCUGAGCCAGCUGCUGGGAAGUGUUAUUGCUAUUGUUAACCCCAAUUAUCUUGAUUGAGUGGUCAGAUGAGGCAGUUGCAAUGCGCUUGCCAUAGUAAUCCAUAACCACAUCAUGGACUGUGUCCUGAUGACCUGUCUCAAUUUUUUGAGAAGGCAUUUUGUCUAGUGAAUAUGUACACUGCUUCAAAUAGCUCGUAUAUUAAAAUCGUUCCUUUCUCCUGAAUAAGAACCAAAAUAAAAUUAAAGAAAAAAAAAGUUUUCAAUUUCUCUUCUUAUCAGGUAUCACUCAACUUCCAAAUUUCACAAAUCAUAUGUUAUGAAAACUAACGAAACCCUGAUUUCAGAAACAUAUUCUAGAUCCUAUAAAUUGAUGAUAAAGUUAGGCAAAACCAAACAUUUUGAACUCAAAUAUCAAUAAUCAACUAGCGAAAAAUACAACACAAAUGCACAUACAUAGAUUUUAAACGACUGACCAACACGCACCAAGUGAAACAAACCAAAAAGGUCUUAAUAUGGAACAAACACAAGAUCAAGUGAAUUCCCUAUAUUUGCAAAUAUGAAUAUACAUAGAUUUAUAAGAAGUGAAAAGAAGACCUAUAAAGGAGCUCACAUAAUGUUGUUACAGAACCAAAGAAAAGAGAUCUGUUUUCUAAUUCAAGGUAAGAUUUUUUUUUUCUACAUUAAAAGAAACCGAUUACAAUUUGAAUACAGUAAGGAGUGUAAAUGUGACAAUAAAAAAUUGGGUCACAAAGCUAUCUUAUGUUAAGUAAAAUAAAGUACAAAUUAGUUUAUGGUGCCAUGUCCACAAAAAUUCCAAAAAAAUCCCACCCUGAGGCCAUUUUUCAUUUUCUGCCACAUCUACACUCCCAAUCAUAUCCAAACCGUAAUAGAAUUUUUGCUCAUAUAGAAAACAGAAACUGA